GCUUGUCUCAAAGAUUAAGCCAUGCAUGUUCAAACAUAAGUAUUAUAAAGCGAAGUUGCGAAUGGCUCAUUAUAUCAGUUAUAAUAUACUAGAUAGUUUCUCUACAUGGAUAACCGUGGUAAUUCUAGAGCUAAUACAUGCGAAAAGUCGGCGCAAGUCGAUGUAUUUAUUAGAUACAGAAUCAAUACGUGUUCUGCACGUUCUAUUGAUGAAUCAUAAUAACUGUUCGAAUCGCACGGGCAACCGGCGAUAGUUCAUUCAAAUUUCUGCCCUAUCAGCUUUCGACGGUAGUGUAGUGGACUACCGUGGCGUUAACGGGUAACGGAGAAUUAGGGUUCGAUUCCGGAGAGGGAGCCUGAGAAACGGCUACCACAUCCAAGGAAGGCAGCAGG
Molecule: ribosomal RNA, 392 nt
Filed under: uncultured eukaryote
Lineage: Eukaryota
Description: partial small subunit ribosomal RNA
Rfam family: Eukaryotic small subunit ribosomal RNA
Source: RNAcentral